GAUGAACGCUGGCGGCGUGCCUAAUACAUGCAAGUCGAGCGAACAGACGAGGAGCUUGCUCCUCUGACGUUAGCGGCGGACGGGUGAGUAACACGUGGAUAACCUACCUAUAAGACUGGGAUAACUUCGGGAAACCGGAGCUAAUACCGGAUAAUAUAUUGAACCGCAUGGUUCAAUAGUGAAAGACGGUUUUGCUGUCACUUAUAGAUGGAUCCGCGCCGCAUUAGCUAGUUGGUAAGGUAACGGCUUACCAAGGCGACGAUGCGUAGCCGACCUGAGAGGGUGAUCGGCCAAACUGGAACUGAGACAAGGUCCAGACUCCUACGGGAGGCAGCAGUAGGGAAUCUUCCGCAAUGGGCGAAAGCCUGACGGAGCAACGCCGCGUGAGUGAUGAAGGUCUUCGGAUCGUAAAACUCUGUUAUUAGGGAAGAACAAAUGUGUAAGUAACUAUGCACGUCUUGACGGUACCUAAUCAGAAAGCCACGGCUAACUACGUG
RNAcentral lists this ribosomal RNA (497 nucleotides) under uncultured bacterium. RNAcentral's name for it is "partial 16S ribosomal RNA". It matches the Rfam family "Bacterial small subunit ribosomal RNA", at positions 28 to 507 of the family's 1533-position model. The record is from RNAcentral.